Molecule: ribosomal RNA, 253 nt
Filed under: uncultured bacterium
Lineage: Bacteria
Description: partial 16S ribosomal RNA
Rfam family: Bacterial small subunit ribosomal RNA
Source: RNAcentral
UACGGAGGGUGCGAGCGUUAUCCGGAAUCACUGGGUUUAAAGGGUGCGUAGGCGGCUGAGAAAGUCAGUGGUGAAAGCUCAUCGCUUAACGAUGGAAUUGCCAUUGAUACUAUUUGGCUUGAAUAAUGAUGAGGUUGGCGGAAUGUGGCAUGUAGCGGUGAAAUGCUUAGAUAUGCCAUAGAACACCGAUUGCGAAGGCAGCUGACUGGAGAUUUAUUGACGCUGAGGCACGAAAGCGUGGGGAUCAAACAGG